This 400-nucleotide ribosomal RNA is filed under the name uncultured bacterium. RNAcentral's name for it is "bacterial SSU rRNA". It matches the Rfam family "Bacterial small subunit ribosomal RNA", at positions 355 to 752 of the family's 1533-position model. The record is from RNAcentral.
UAGGGAAUAUUGGUCAAUGGGCGGAAGCCUGAACCAGCCAUGCCGCGUGAAGGACGAAGGCCCUCUGGGUCGUAAACUUCUUUUACAUGGGAAGAAAACCCCCGGUGCGCCGGGGACUGACGGUACCAUGGGAAUAAGCACCGGCUAACUCCGUGCCAGCAGCCGCGGUAAUACGGAGGGUGCGAGCGUUAUCCGGAAUCACUGGGCUUAAAGGGUACGUAGGCUGUCGUCUAAGUCUGGGGUGAAAGGCCGUGGCUCAACCAUGGGAGCGCCCUGGAUACUGGACGACUUGAAUGAGGAUGAGGUUGGCGGAAUGCGUCAUGUAGCGGUGAAAUGCUUAGAUAUGACGUGGAACACCGAUUGCGAAGGCAGCCAACUGGGCCUCCAUUGACGCUGAGGU